CUACGGGUGGCAGCAGUAGGGAAUCUUAGACAAUGGGGGAAAUCCUGAUCUAGCCAUGCCGCGUGAGUGAUGAAGGCCUUAGGGUUGUAAAGCUCUUUCGCUGGGGAAGAUAAUGACGGUACCCAGUAAAGAAACCCCGGCUAACUCCGUGCCAGCAGCCGCGGUAAUACGGAGGGGGUUAGCGUUGUUCGGAAUUACUGGGCGUAAAGCGCGCGUAGGCGGGCUAUUAAGUCAGGGGUGAAAUCCCGGGGCUCAACCCCGGAACUGCCUUUGAUACUGGUAGUCUUGAGUUCGAGAGAGGUGAGUGGAAUUCCGAGUGUAGAGGUGAAAUUCGUAGAUAUUCGGAGGAACAUCAGUGGCGAAGGCGACUCACUGGCUCGAUACUGACGCUGAGGUGCGAAAGUGUGGGGAGCAAACAGGAUUAGAUACCCUCGUAGUC
This 439-nucleotide ribosomal RNA is filed under the name uncultured bacterium. Its description in RNAcentral is "partial 16S ribosomal RNA". It matches the Rfam family "Bacterial small subunit ribosomal RNA", at positions 339 to 795 of the family's 1533-position model. The record is from RNAcentral.